CACCGCCUACGCAGCCGCUGGAGUCGUCUGUCGGAACGUCGGGACGCGCGCCUCAGGAACGAUGCGGCAUUGUUAAUGAAGGUGAAGUUGAUGACAGUUGCUUUCUUCCUGGUAGUUUGAUGGAUUAUAGGGGAGAAUUCUUCGGAAUUGGAUUAAAUAUGAAUGAAGGAGUUGAUUUAAAUGAUGAUGGGCUAAACUGUAUGAAAUGUGAUGGUGAUGAUAUGGGUGAGUUGCAGGACUUGGAUUUAAAUGAAGGGGUGAAUUUGGAGUUGCAUGAGGGGUUAAAUGAUGAUGGGCUAAACUGUAUGAAAUGUGAUGGUGAUGAUUUGGGUGAGUUGCAGGACUUGGAUUUAAAUGAAGGCGUGAAUUUGGAGUUGCAUGAGGGGUUAAAUGAUGAUGGGCUAAACUGUAUGAAAUGUGAUGGUGAUGAUUUGGGUGAGUUGCAGGACUUGGAUUUGAAUGAAGGCGUGAAUUUCGAGUUGCAUGAGGGGUUAUAUUUGAUUGAAGGAUUAUCGAUGAGUGUUCGGGUGCAAAGAAGGAAAUAAUUGAUGUGAAUUUGGAUGUUAGUGAACAGUUUGUGAAUGUGGGUGGCGAGAGAGAAGGAAGAUACUUCGAUUUGAAUUUAACGCUAACAGAGUAUGAAGUUAACAACUUAGAUGAUUGUGAGGAGAAUUUAGGAGCAAAUGAAAGGAUUUGUGAUGAAGGAGACAAGCAGAGAGGGGUGGAGUUUUGUGAUUGAAGUUUAGUGAAUGCAGAUGCUGAGAGGGGCAAUGAGAUUUUCUGUAUGGAGAGUAGAGAAAAAAGCCCAUCAGGGAACUGUGCCGCCGGAGUUGAUUAUGAAAAUGCGGCUUCAGUAAGUGUGUCGAAAAAGAGAAGGGGAAGGAGAAAAAAGAGGUUUUGAAUAAUAAAACCGAAUCAGACAUACCAGAGCAUAUUAAAGUGGAUGUUGAAAUUGGAAAUUUCAAUUCAAGAUUGGAAAAUAGAGCAAACCCCCCCCUAAAAAAUCCCAGUGAUUCUGUGGCUGAUUAUGGUGAUGGAGUUUCAGGAACUGCACCAAGGAGGAGGAGAGGAAGGAAGAGAAGAGAGUUAUCCGAUGAUGAUAUUAACUUGGCUACACCGGAGAUGGGAUUGAGGAGAAGCAUUCGAUGGGCAAAAAAGGCUUCAUUUUCAGCAGAGAUCAGCAGGCAGGUAUCCACCCCAGCCGAUAGUGUUUUUUCUGACAAAAAGGUUACAAGGGCAGGUUCUGAAAAAUACGAGGAACCUGUUCCGUCAGCCAAAAGAGGAGCUACCACCUUCUUCUGGCAGUCUGGAUCUCAAAGGAGUUUCUGUGUUUGAUUUUGUAUCCGUUUACGCAUUUGUAAGGUCGUCUAAUGCUUUGCUGUUUUUAAGCCCUUUUGAGCUGGAUGAUUUUUUGUGACGUGUCAAAUGUUAAGACUCCACGUCAUUGUUUGGCUUUAUUCACGUGUCCCUUUUAAAACACUACGGAUACAUUUGGAGUCUCUUUCCAACAAAGGUUCAGCCUCUGUGCCUGAUUGUCUCAGGACUCUUAAUUGGGAUUUCGUGGACUUGAUUACAUGGCCCCUGUUUGUGGUUCAGUAUCUGUUAUAUGGACAGUCCUCGACAUAUACCUGGUUUUGAUCUGUAUCAAUUUGGACCUUUCCGGAUGGCUACUGCAAAAUGCCAGUAUCAGCAAAAGUUGAGAGUUCAAGUCAUCUUUGCGGUGAUGUGAUUGAAGUAGAAGCCUUCAGGUCAGAGCUAAACAGAAGAACAUUGACAACAGAGCAGUAUAAGGAUUUGAAUUGGAAUAUUAAAUUAAAUGAUUCCAAAAGAAGAAAGGCUAUGAUGGAUGUUGCUACUUCUUAGUUCUUGCAUUAUAGAAGGUGAUAUUGAUUGCUGCCUGUUUAAGAUGGACAGCAACUUGAUAUGCUGUGACGGUUGCUCUGCGGCAUUCAUUCAAGGUGUGCAGGGGUUUUGAGCAGCCUGCUGCCGUGGGGCGAUUACUAUUGUCCUGAAUGUGCAAUCGACAAGGAUAAGUCUUGGGCCAACAUAGGGAAGUCUAUCAAGGAGCAGAACCAUGGCCGGCUAUAUUAUAGCAGCUGCAGUCACCUAUUAGUCUAAGUUGUUCCUUAUAAGAUUAGGGAGCUUGAUGCUAACAUCAAAUGGGAUGAUAUUGGGAACGCUAACCUGCUUUCCGAGGUGGACAAGCAUUCCAAAUUAUCCAUCAGGUCAUUUAAAAAGGUUAUAAUUCAUGCAAAAUACUAUGAAGGAGAAGUAGCCAGGUACCUUCUAGAUUUUGAGAAGAAAAGACUUAUCCCCGUUAUAGUCAUGAAACAUGGUUCCAUGCUUGAAGAUUCCACAAGCAAGAUAGAUAAAUAUUGGCUGGACGAGUAUCAUGUUUGAUUGCAUCUCCUGAAAGUGUUUGAAGAGAAAGAACUGCUCGUCAGUCCAAUGAGAUUAGUUUCUGGAAAACCUCAUGAUAGCAGCAGAGUGUUGAAGAAGUCGGUCAAGAGAAAGGGGUUUGAGUACCUUUUCCUCAAGAGCAGAUAGAUCAGAUAGUUACAAAUGCGGGCCCUGUAAGAAAGAAAUUCUCAUCAGGGAAGCAGUGAGCUGCCAAGGCUUCUUCUUCUGCUGGAUCUAUUACUGCUGAGUGUAUCUAUACAUGCCAUAAAUGUGAGAUUGGAUGUUUGUGAAAACUGAUGCAAGCAAGGGAAAAGCUAAGUUGCCAAAAUGUAAGAAGGCAGUAGAAGCACUAAAGCCAUUAUGCUCUGAGAACAGUAAAAAAACCAGGGAAAGACUAACAACAAGUGCUUUAUAAAAAGAAGAGAGUUCCUCUGGUGGUACCACUGCGACUUUCUGCUAGUAUUGCCGAGCACAGUUCAAAGGUGUCUUUCCAGAGUAGGAAGGUAAAAAAACAGAAGAGAGGAAGGCAAGCUAAAACAAAGAAGGAUAAGUUGAAGAUGUUGAACAGUUGUAGAUGGUAGAAGAAGUGUCCUGUUAAUAGUAGUUAUUGGUUGAAUGGUCUACAGUUGACAAGCAGGAAGAAUGAUGAAAGAUUGAUGCAAUUUAGGAGUAAAAUACUUCUAGUGCUUUCUGGAGACUGGACUUCCAUCAGUGAAGCCGAGAUGUAGUCUCUGCGGUUAACUGUAAUACACUUCUAAGCUGCAUAAUGUGACUUAUGAAAUUUGUUGAGAAUUCGCAGUUUGGAUUCAGCGAGAUGCAUUGGUUCUUACAACAGAUAAAAUAGAAAGAAUCAUUGGCUUCAAGUGCCACAACUGUCUCAAUAAGAGGCCUCUUCUCUGCCCACAUCAUUGUCCAACUGGAUGCAACAAGGUUGAACUCGUUUCAGAAAAUAACUCGGACUGAAUGCAAUGUGGAAGUUUCUAAUGGUUUGCCUCACCCAGAUGACAGAACUAAGCAAUUCCUGGCAUGUAACUUGGUAAAAUUCAAGUAUUGCUGGAAACUUGAAAGCAGAAAUUGGGGAGACUGAAGCACCAGUUGCAGUUGGUUAAAGCCAAUCCUGCAUCUGGCCCUUGUUUUAUUGCAGAAAGAGUGCUCAAAGCACAUCGCCAGCUUUUUUCAGACAUGACAUGAAUCAAAGGGUGAAAAAUACUGGAAUGUUGGUUCCGCUGUACGAAUUAGCUGCACGUGCUCAUUAUUGAGUACAUGGAUGCUCGCGUCAAAUCUCAUACUGCUUUUUGCUGUACCAGUUCUGGAUAGCAUCUCAGAGAUGUGCAAUGUCGGAGAAAUUUGAUACAGAUUGUUACACCGCACGGGCAGGCUACAAGCACUGUGGCUGUGAGUAGGAGCAGUAGGUUUACCUUCAGAUAGAAACAGCGAUCGAGUUAACCAUUGCCAAACUCAACAAGGUGGUAGAGAAAGAAAGCCAUUUUUUUGGAAGCCAUUGAAUUUCAACAUCUAGCGCUGUUUUAAACACGCACGACAUCAGUUGUAGGUAAACACAGAAGGAUAAGAAACAUGCAAAUGAUUUUUCCUUUUGUGCCAAAUCAAUCGAGCUUGUGCUGAAAGUCAGGUUUGGAUUGAAACCGAAUUUGGGAUUGAGCUAUCUAACUUCUUGAUAAAUUAUAAAUAUUAUGUAUGCUAAUAUGUAAAAAGAUAAAUAUAAAAUAUCGAUUUAUAGUUGUCGUUUUAUAGACAUAAAUAACACAGUAAUUUGCUCAAUAGGUCGGGAACAUGUGAUUGUCCCUCAAUCUUCUUCAAUAACAAAUAGCCCGUUUUGCCCUUCGGUG
Sesamum indicum (sesame) is the source of this 4247-nucleotide long non-coding RNA. RefSeq lists it as uncharacterized. The record is from RefSeq and is a predicted model, not a curated record. Lineage: Eukaryota; Viridiplantae; Streptophyta; Magnoliopsida; Lamiales; Pedaliaceae.